GAAAAUGCAAACUGAAACCUGGGAAACAGUGCAGUCCAAGUCAAGGUCCUUGUUGUACAGCACAGUGUGCAUUCAAGUCAAAGUCUGAGAAGUGUCGGGAUGAUUCAGACUGUGCAAGGGAAGGAAUAUGUAAUGGCUUCACAGCUCUCUGCCCAGCGUCUGACCCUAAACCAAACUUCACAGACUGUAAUAGGCAUACACAAGUGUGCAUUAAUGGGGUAAGCAUUUAACUAUGUGUUUUUAAAUUUAAUUUUAGAAAACUUAUUUUUCAGAAGAAUUAUUGAUGCUUAAAGCUACAUAGUUAAAGUAAUUAAUCUUGGGCUCUGUUUAAGUAAUAUUCCCUCACAAAACCAUGAAUAUAUUAUGUGGCAUUCAAUUAGCUACUAAUUUGUCUUUCAUCUUUCCAUGUACUUGUGGUUGAUAUUCUCUAGAGAAACAUAGUUGUACAACUCGGCAUGUGACUUGUCUAUAAUAUUUAAGUUUUAUAAAAUAAUAUUUCAGUAGCCUAAAUAAAAGAACUCUUUGGUCAUCUUCUCUGAAUAUGAAACCUUCAAAGCUUUUGUGGCUGAAUAUCACUUUGCUUUACAUGAAGAAAAUUUAAUUUUUCUUUGUUUAUAGAAGAGCCAUAAUAACCAACAUAAAAUCGAUCCUCAUCUAAUCUCUUUCUCUGCUUUUAUUUCAUUUUUUUAAGUUGCCAUUGCUUUAAAAGAUUUAUUCUUUCUUGGGUUUACUGUUUUUCAGAUUUUGUCAAAUGUAUUUAUGUAAUUCCGUUCUGAUACUCAUCUCUGUUUGUUUUUCACUUUUACUUCCAUUUAAAUAUUUUGACAUUGGAAGCUCAUACUUGCCUGUCUGUUACUAUAAAAAAUAGGUUUGACUGUAUAGGGAUUAAAUAAUUUGUCUUUUAUUUUUCUUCUAGCAAUGUGCAGGUUCUAUCUGUGAGAAAUACGGCUUAGAGGAGUGUACGUGUGCCAGUUCUGAUGGCAAAGAUGAUAAAGAAUUAUGCCAUGUAUGCUGUAUGAAGAAAAGUAAGGCUUUUAAAAACACAGGAGUAUAAAAUCUGCCUCAAACUAUUAUUUUCUCUUAAAUUUUAAGUGUAAAACUUUGACCUACAGUUUGGCCAGAUAGUUUCCAGCUAAAUCUGUCCUCUUGAGGAGAUUAUAAAUGUAACAUAGCAUGUGUCUCUAUUAUUAUGGUCUCUACAAUGUUUUAAAAAUGAUAAACUAGACAAAACGUUACCAGCUUUACAGCAAUAAUUUACAUAAACACUGUUAGACUUUAAGUCGUUGUGGACACUGAAUCAAGACUUGCUGGUUGCUUGUUUACAUUGUAACAUUUAAUGUGAAUUACUAAUGGCGUUACCCAGCCUAACUAGAGAAGGUCUGUAUAACAUGUUAUGGUAAUGAUUUCAGACAGUUUUUUUUCCCUCUUUAUAUUUCCGCAACUGGAAAUCUGAUCUUCAACUUAUAUUUGAAUCUGAUCUUCAGCUUAUAUUUGGCAUUUCUUUUCCAGUGGACCCAUCAACUUGUGCCAGUACAGGGUCUGUGCAGUGGAGUAGGCACUUCAGUGGUCGAACCAUCACCCUGCAACCUGGAUCCCCUUGCAACGAUUUUAGAGGUUACUGUGAUGUUUUCAUGCGGUGCAGAUUAGUAGAUGCUGAUGGUCCUCUAGCUAGGCUUAAAAAAGCAAUUUUUAGUCCAGAGCUCUAUGAAAACAUUGCUGAAUGGAUUGUGGCUCAUUGGUGGGCAGUAUUACUUAUGGGAAUUGCUCUGAUCAUGCUAAUGGCUGGAUUUAUUAAGAUAUGCAGUGUUCAUACUCCAAGUAGUAAUCCAAAGUUGCCUCCUCCUAAACCACUUCCAGGCACUUUAAAGAGGAGGAGACCUCCACAGCCCAUUCAGCAACCCCAGCGUCAGCGGCCCCGAGAGAGUUAUCAAAUGGGACACAUGAGACGCUAACUGCAGCUUUUGCCUUGGUUCUUCCUAGUGCCUACAAUGGGAAAACUUCACUCCAAAGAGAAACCUAUUAAGUCAUCAUCUCCAAACUAAACCCUCACAAGUAACAGUUGAAGAAAAAAUGGCAAGAGAUUAUAUCCUCAGACCAGGUGGAAUUACUUAAAUUUUAAAGCCUGAAAAUUCCAAUUUGGGGGUGGGAGGUGGAAAAGGAACCCAGUUUUCUUAUGAACAGAUAUUUUUAACUUAAUGGCACAAAGUCUUAGAAUAUUAUUAUGUGCCCCGUGUUCCCUGUUCUUCGUUGCUGCAUUUUCUUCACUUGCAGGCAAACUUGGCUCUCGAUAAACUUUUACCACAAAUUGAAAUAAAUAUAUUUUUUUCAACUGCC
This 2334-nucleotide small RNA is filed under the name Pongo abelii (Sumatran orangutan). Its description in RNAcentral is "retained intron". The record is from RNAcentral. Lineage: Eukaryota; Metazoa; Chordata; Mammalia; Primates; Hominidae.